This 506-nucleotide ribosomal RNA is filed under the name uncultured bacterium. RNAcentral describes it as "partial 16S ribosomal RNA". It matches the Rfam family "Bacterial small subunit ribosomal RNA", at positions 899 to 1397 of the family's 1533-position model. The record is from RNAcentral.
ACUCAAAUGAAUUGACGGGGGCUCACACAAGCGGUGGAGCAUGUUGCUUAAUUCGAGGCAACGCGAAGAACCUUACCUGGGUUUGACAUGGUCGGAUUAACUCCUGGAAACAGGAGCCACGCCCGCAAGGGUGGAACGAUCACAGGUGCUGCAUGGCUGUCGUCAGCUCGUGCUGUGAAGUGUCGGGUUAAGUCCUCUAACGAGCGCAACCCCUAUCGUUAGUUGCUCACGGGUCAAGCCGAGUACUCUAGCGAGACUGCCGGUGUCAAACCGGAGGAAGGCGGGGAUGACGUCAAGUCCUCAUGGCCCUUACAUCCAGGGUUGCAAACGUGCUACAAUGGCGCAUACAAAGCGACGCGAGGCCGCGAGGCGGAGCAAAUCGCAAAAAAUGCGCCCCAGUUCGGAUUGCAGGCUGCAAUUCGCCUGCAUGAAGUCGGAAUCGCUAGUAAUCGCGGAUCAGCUACGCCGCGGUGAAUAAGUUCCUGAGCCUUGUACACACCGCCCGU